GGGAGUACGGCUCAGUGGUAAAGCUCUUGCCUGGCAGGCAUGAAACCCUCGUUCAAUCCUAAGUACUGCCA
This 71-nucleotide transfer RNA is filed under the name Marmota monax (woodchuck). It matches the Rfam family "tRNA". From Rfam's summary of the family: Transfer RNA (tRNA) molecules are approximately 80 nucleotides in length. Their secondary structure includes four short double-helical elements and three loops (D, anti-codon, and T loops). The record is from Rfam by way of RNAcentral. Lineage: Eukaryota; Metazoa; Chordata; Mammalia; Rodentia; Sciuridae.